UUAGACGUCAUUUGUUUGUCGUCUGAAUAAGUGAAUUUAAGGGUUCAAAAUGGAGGUAUAAAUCAAAGAUUUAUGGUUGUUUCAGACGACAUUAAUAUGUUGUUGGAUGAAGUACAUAAAAAGAGGAUUAAAAGUAGAUUUCGCAUUCUUUCACAGACAACUUUUAUAUGUUGUCCAACGUAUUACCAUAAAGUUGCUAAAUGUUGCUUUUUUACACUGCAUAUAUAUGCCGUCUGAAAUUUUGCAUAUCACAGACAAAUUGAACAACAUCCAGAAGUAUGAAGGGAGCAUGGCACUCAUACGACUUAUACUUCACAAAUGUCAUCUGAAGGGUAGAAAAAUUAAUCAGACGACAUAAACUCAAAAUCAUCCAAAAUAUGUCGUCUGAAAAGUGUCGUCUGAUGAUGUAUAUGGCCUAGUGCUACCUCCUCCUAAUCACCGAUUGACAUGCAUCCACCGCCUUCUCAAGAUUGAAAUCCAAACCCUAAAUCCCCAAAUUCAAUUUCCGACCGAAUCUCUCCCUCUCUGGCGAACUCGUGCUCCGUGAAGGUAAACCUAUCACUUCUCUCUCGUUUUCACUCCUCCUUGAGCUUUGAUUUCCCUAAAUAAAGCCCUAUUCUGAUUUUCUUUUCUUUUGUAUUUCUGGGUUUUGGUCAAAGUUUUCCCGCGACCUCAUCGACUGCUAGGGAGUCCUAUCAUGUUUUAAUGGAGCCGAAGUACGUUUAAGUGGCGUUGUGGAAGUAGCGGGUGGUUCUGGGUUGAGGCAGUGGCUUUCUAGCAAGGCUAGGAUCCAUGUUCUUAUGUUGAUUCUCCGAUUUGGUCUUGGUUAAGCAAGGAGGAGGUUCAGACUUUGUCUUGAUUCUCGACCUCUCUUGUUGUUGUGGAAUUACUAUGUUGGUUGUUAUGUGUUGAGUUGUUGUUGAAUUGUUGGUCUUGUGUACUAGGAGUUUAGGACUCCUUUAUUCCAUGAUUGCCUCAACAAUCAGUGAGUUAUUCUUGUUUUUAUGUAUCAACUUGUUUCUGGUAUGCCUUCCUAAUUCUCACAUGUAUAAUUGUGAUGUUUCAACAUUAGCCUCUGAGUUAUAAAAUUCAUAUUAUAAUCGUAUGCAAGCUUUUCAUGUUAGGAUCGAUUAAUUUUGCUCUGCGCUGCAUUUGUUGCAGAUGAGAGCCUUGGAAGUAAAGUUUAGAUUUCUGAUUUUUGUCUUGACUACAGUGCUUGUACAAGUGAAUUUUAAUUGCUUUUGCUCUUAACUACAUUUCAUUUUAGGUUAAUGGUCCUAAAUAACUGCUUUUGUGUUAGAGGUUAUUCAUAUAUAGUUAUUUACAGCUCUGAAAUGUGAUGCUUGUAGUUGCAAAGCAAGUUCCAAGACUGUCAUGGAAACUAUAAUAAUAUAGAUUAUAAAUUUAAGUGCUAUGAGGACAGAUGCAGGUGCUUUCAAUUGCUAUCAUAAGGAGCAUCCUACUCAAACUAAACACUAUUGACUUGAUAGAUUUGUUGUAGGUCGCUAACUUGUCAUGUUUUUUACUUUCUUAAUACAAAAUGAAACAGUGAUAUUUAUGGUUUUAGGUUUUAGCUAGCCAUAGAUCACUUUCUUUUCUGUCUAGUCUUUGAUGUCAAGUUACACUGCAUAUUGACGUUGAUGCAUGCAUCUUAAUUGUUAAAAAUUUCGCUUUUCCGUUUAAAUUGAUAUAAGUUAUGUUAAGCUGAUAUGUGAUUGUUUCAACUGUGUGGAGGGUGUACCAUGGCACAGCAGAACCCAAGAUAUAUGAACUGAAACUACUGUAAAAUGCUCAUGGAUGCAUUUGAAGGUGAAAGGGAGUUGAGGAAGAGCAUUGUGGAACAUAUAAAUAUGAUCAAGAUACUACGCUCUUUUUUUUGGGGUCAUAAUAGAAGUGCUAGGUUUAGAGUUUAAACUUUUGCAACUGAGGGAUACAAUGUAUUUUGAUGGAUAUUGAUGCAAUGAAAAGUCUGGUGAUUCAUUAGGUAAUAGUCUCAAGAACAACUCUUCAGAAUGCCUACUUCUAUAUGAGCAAGUGUGUCAUGAAACUAGUACAUGGUGCACAUUAAACUGGGACUUUGAGUAAACUUGCAUAUAAGAGCAGUAAUACUCUAAAAACCAACCCUCUCAAAUGUGUUCUUUUCAUAUGGAAGAUGGUGACUUAUGCAUGCCGAAGUCUACUUGUACAUGAGAAACGCUAAGAUAAUUAGUAGACAAAUGUCAUUUGUCAACGUAAAGUUAGACUUGGUUCAUGAGACGCUAAGACAAUUAGUAGACAAUUGUCAACAAAAAAGUAGACCUUUACACAUAAAUAAGCAGACUAGGCUUUGUAAACAAAUAGAUCUCUCAAGAAUUUUUCAAGUGUCUGUGAAUUCUUGACACUUUAGAGUUGGUCUACACGUAGUAUGAGUUAAAGAUUCAAAAACCUUGUACACCAUGUUCACAAAACAGGUAGGUUAGUCUUCGUAAACAGGUAGACCAUUUUAUCUCACAAAAAAAGUAGACCCUUACUCGUAAAUAAGCAGACCAGGCUUCGUAAACACGUAGACCUCUCAAGAAUUCUUCAAGUGUACAUCUGUGAAUUCUGGACACUUAAGAAUUGGUCUACGCGUAGUAUAAGUCAAUGAUUCGAAAACUUUGUACACCAUGUUCACAAAACAGGUAGAUUAGUCUUCGUAAACAGGUAGACCAUUUUGUCUCAUAAAAAAUUAGACCCUUACACGUAAAUAAGCAGACCAGGUUUCGUAAACAGGUAGACCUCUUAAGAAUUCUUCAAGUGUCUAUGAAUUUUGCACACUUUAGAGUUGGUCUACUCGUAGUGAGAGUCAGUGAUUAGAAAACCUAGUACACCAUGUUCAUAAAUCAGGUAGGUUGUUGUUCGUAAACCGGUAGACCAUUUUGUCUUACAAAAAAAGUAGAGCCUUACUCAUAAAUAAGUAGACCGGGCUUCGUACACAGGUAGACCUCUCAAGAAUUCUUCAAGUGUCUAUGAAUUAUGCACACUUUAGAGUUGGUCUACUCGUAGUGAGAGUCAAUGAUUAGAAAACCUAGUACACCUUGUUCAAAAAACAGGUAGGUUGUUCGUAAACCGGUAGACCAUUUUGUCUCACAAAAAAAGUAGAGCCUUACUCGUAAAUAAGCAAACCAGGCUUCGUAAACAGGUAGACCUCACAAGAAUUCUUCAAGUGUCUAUGAAUUCUCCACAGUUUAGAGUUGGUCUACUCGUUGUGAGUGUCAAUGAUUAGAAAACCAGGUACACCAUGUUCACAAAACAGGUAAGUUGUUGUUCGUAAACAGGUAGACCAUUUUGUCUCACAAAAAAAGUAGAGCUUUACUCGUAAAGACGCAAACCAGGCUUCGUAAAAAGGUAGACCUCUCAAGAAUUCUUCAACUAUCUGUGAGUUCUACACACUUUAGAGUUGGUCUACUCGUAACUCGUAGUGAGAGUCAGUGAUUAGAAAACCUAGUGCACCAUGUUCACAAAACAGGUAGGUUGUUGUUCGUAAACCGGUAGACCAUUUUGUCUCCCAAAAAAAGUAGACCCUUACUCGUAAAUAAGCAGACCAGGCUUCGUAAACACGUAGACCUCUCAAGAAAUCUUCAGGUGCCUGUGAAUUCUGGAUGCUUUAGAGUUCGUCUACGCAUAGUAUAAGUCAAUGAUUCGAAAACCUUGUACACCAUGUUCACAAAACAGGUAGGUUAGUCUUCGUAAACAGGUAGACCAUUUUGUCUUACUAAAAAAGUAGAUACUUACUCGUAAAUAAGCAAACC
Molecule: long non-coding RNA, 3770 nt
Filed under: Fragaria vesca (wild strawberry)
Lineage: Eukaryota; Viridiplantae; Streptophyta; Magnoliopsida; Rosales; Rosaceae
Description: long non-coding RNA (FVES_LNC005520)
Source: RNAcentral